RNAcentral lists this ribosomal RNA (497 nucleotides) under uncultured bacterium. RNAcentral describes it as "partial 16S ribosomal RNA". It matches the Rfam family "Bacterial small subunit ribosomal RNA", at positions 28 to 507 of the family's 1533-position model. The record is from RNAcentral.
GAUGAACGCUGGCGGCGUGCCUAAUACAUGCAAGUCGAGCGAACAGACGAGGAGCUUGCUCCUCUGACGUUAGCGGCGGACGGGUGAGUAAAACGUGGAUAACCCACCUAUAAGACUGGGAUAACUUCGGGAAACCGGAGCUAAUACCGGAUAAUAUAUUGAACCGCAUGGUUCAAUAGUGAAAGAAGGGUUUGCUGUCACUUAUAGAUGGAUCCGCGCCGCAUUAGCUAGUUGGUAAGGUAACGGCUUACCAAGGCAACGAUGCGUAGCCGACCUGAGAGGGUGAUCGGCCACACUGGAACUGAGACACGGUCCAGACUCCUACGGGAGGCAGCAGUAGGGAAUCUUCCGCAAUGGGCGAAAGCUUGACGGAGCAACGCCGCGUGAGUGAUGAAGGUCUUCGGAUCGUAAAACUCUGUUAUUAGGGAAGAACAAAUGUGUAAGUAACUAUGCACGUCUUGACGGUACCUAAUCAGAAAGCCACGGCUAACUACGUG